RNAcentral lists this ribosomal RNA (330 nucleotides) under uncultured bacterium. Its description in RNAcentral is "bacterial SSU rRNA". It matches the Rfam family "Bacterial small subunit ribosomal RNA", at positions 568 to 898 of the family's 1533-position model. The record is from RNAcentral.
CGCGUAGGUGGUAGUGCAAGUCUGAGGUGGAAUCUUAGGGCUUAACCCUAAAAUUGCCUUGGAAACUGUAUUACUUGAGUCAGUGAGGGGAGGGUAGAAUUCCUGGUGUAGCGGUGAAAUGCGUAGAUAUCAGGAGGAAGGCCGGUGGCGAAGGCGGCCCUCUGGCGCUGAACUGACACUGAGGCGCGAAAGCGUGGGGAGCAAACAGGAUUAGAUACCCUGGUAGUCCACGCCCUAAACGGUGGGUACUAGGUGUAGGGCUCGUAAGGGUUCUGUGCCGAAGCGAAAGCAUUAAGUACCCCGCCUGGGGAGUACGGCCGCAAGGUUGAA